UGUCGUAGGAGUUCGUCCGGAAUCUGUCCGCUACAGAAGUUCGGUCGGAGUCCGAUCUCCAUGGAAGCCCGGAUGGGGAUCAUUUGUCGAGGAAUCUCAGCCGAAGCCUGCCUGCAAUAGAAAUCCGGAAGGAAUUCGUUCAUAAUGGAAGCUCGGGUGAAGGCUUACAGUGGGAAUCCGGUGCAGACCGCUUGUAGUGGAAAUUUAAAGUAGAUCGUUUGUAGCAGAAGCUCGGAGUGAAUCGCUUGCAGUAGAAGCUCGGAGUCCGGCCCUUGUAGGAGUUCGGAUGAAGUCUACCUACAAUCGGAGUUCGGGGAAGAAGUCCGACUCCCGUAGGAGCCCGGACAGAGUCUACCUGCAGUUGGCGUUCGGGGAAGAGGUCCGACUUCCGUG
This 393-nucleotide long non-coding RNA is filed under the name Elaeis guineensis (African oil palm). RNAcentral's name for it is "long non-coding RNA (EGUI_LNC040168)". Lineage: Eukaryota; Viridiplantae; Streptophyta; Magnoliopsida; Arecales; Arecaceae. The record is from RNAcentral.